RNAcentral lists this ribosomal RNA (396 nucleotides) under uncultured Enterobacteriaceae bacterium. RNAcentral's name for it is "bacterial SSU rRNA". It matches the Rfam family "Bacterial small subunit ribosomal RNA", at positions 988 to 1382 of the family's 1533-position model. Lineage: Bacteria; Pseudomonadati; Pseudomonadota; Gammaproteobacteria; Enterobacterales; Enterobacteriaceae. The record is from RNAcentral.
CCUACGGAAGGUUUUCUAGAGAUGAGAAUGUGCCUUCGGGAACCGUGAGACAGGUGCUGCAUGGCUGUCGUCAGCUCGUGUUGUGAAAUGUUGGGUUAAGUCCCGCAACGAGCGCAACCCUUAUCCUUUGUUGCCAGCGGUCCGGCCGGGAACUCAAAGGAGACUGCCAGUGAUAAACUGGAGGAAGGUGGGAUGACGUCAAAUCAUCAUGGCCCUUACGACCAGGGCUACACACGUGCUACAAUGGCGCAUACAAAGAGAAGCGACCUCGCGAGAGCAAGCGGACCUCAUAAAGUGCGUCGUAGUCCGGAUUGGAGUCUGCAACUCGACUCCAUGAAGUCGGAAUCGCUAGUAAUCGUGGAUCAGAAUGCCACGGUGAAUACGUUCCCGGGCCUU